RNAcentral lists this ribosomal RNA (564 nucleotides) under Alternaria sp. YXM3. RNAcentral describes it as "eukaryotic LSU rRNA". The stretch from base 222 to 375 matches the Rfam family "5.8S ribosomal RNA". The record is from RNAcentral. Lineage: Eukaryota; Fungi; Ascomycota; Dothideomycetes; Pleosporales; Pleosporaceae.
UUGGAAGUAAAAAUCGUAACAAGGUCUCCGUAGGUGAACCUGCGGAGGGAUCAUUACACAAAUAUGAAGGCGGGCUGGAACCUCUCGGGGUUACAGCCUUGCUGAAUUAUUCACCCUUGUCUUUUGCGUACUUCUUGUUUCCUUGGUGGGUUCGCCCACCACUAGGACAAACAUAAACCUUUUGUAAUUGCAAUCAGCGUCAGUAACAAAUUAAUAAUUACAACUUUCAACAACGGAUCUCUUGGUUCUGGCAUCGAUGAAGAACGCAGCGAAAUGCGAUAAGUAGUGUGAAUUGCAGAAUUCAGUGAAUCAUCGAAUCUUUGAACGCACAUUGCGCCCUUUGGUAUUCCAAAGGGCAUGCCUGUUCGAGCGUCAUUUGUACCCUCAAGCUUUGCUUGGUGUUGGGCGUCUUGUCUCUAGCUUUGCUGGAGACUCGCCUUAAAGUAAUUGGCAGCCGGCCUACUGGUUUCGGAGCGCAGCACAAGUCGCACUCUCUAUCAGCAAAGGUCUAGCAUCCAUUAAGCCUUUUUUUCAACUUUGACCUCGAUCAGUAGAUGCCCGUCC